Molecule: small nuclear RNA, 95 nt
Filed under: Cucumis melo (muskmelon)
Lineage: Eukaryota; Viridiplantae; Streptophyta; Magnoliopsida; Cucurbitales; Cucurbitaceae
Also listed under: 1 other name
Source: RNAcentral
GUCCCCUCGGGGACAUCGGAUAAAAUUGGAACCUUACAGAGAAGAUUGCAUGGCCCUUGCGCAAGGAGACACACAAAUAUAAAUUCCACCCCUCC